Molecule: long non-coding RNA, 7987 nt
Filed under: Salvia miltiorrhiza (redroot sage)
Lineage: Eukaryota; Viridiplantae; Streptophyta; Magnoliopsida; Lamiales; Lamiaceae
Description: long non-coding RNA (SMIL_LNC008319)
Source: RNAcentral
UGGUCAGAAAAAGAAAUAUCAUUAAAAAUCAAGGUACCAGAGGUACCGAAAGUUACAAAUUGAAAUGACAAAUGGUUUCAGACAUCCAGUCCUGUAUGCUAAUAUCACCCUCCAUCAAGUGGAAGAUUUUACUCCAACUCCAAAGUCUAGCUUUAAUACCUUCCACCAACUUGUGAACCUCCCAAUUCUUACUCUCAAAUCUACUUUCAUUCCUUCCUUUCCAGAUAAGCCAAGUGGUGCACGCCCAAAGUACCGAUAAAAACUUGACGCUGUUCUUCCUUGUCCCAAGAUUUGAGAAGGCUUCGUAGUGUGCGCCGACGUUUAAAGGUCGGACUGAAUCAACACCCACCCAUUUUUGGAUUUCAUUCCAAACCAUUUCUGUCUUCGGGCACCAGAGGAAAAGAUGAUUAACUGAUUCCUCCUUCUGACAGCAUGCAUUGCACAUAACUUCCUCUUCUCCAAGCAGAAUCCUUCGUUUAACAAGGUUAUCACAAGUAGGUAGCCGGUUUCUCAGUAUUCUCCACGUCGUGACUUUGACCUUUUGUGGAGCCCGAAUCUUCCAUGCUUUUGCAUAUCUCUCAAUGAGAUUUGACGUCGCCCUCUCCUCCAUUCGCGACUCCCUGAUGACUUUAUAGGCUGACCUUGUAGAAAAAGCGCCUUCUUUAUCUGCUUUCCAAUUCCAACCAUCUUCCUCACCUGCACAAAAUUUGACAUUGGCAACUACAACUGUAAGAUCAUUCACCAGAUCAACUUCUCUAUUGAAAAGGUCUCUCCUCCACUCCCAUUUCCACUCCCAAACAUCCCCCACCCAGAUACCCAUUUCACAUAUCCAAGCUACCUUUUGAGAACUUAGGUUGUAAAGUCUAGGAAAAGUCAUUUUCAAGGGUCUGUUCCCCACCCAAUUGUCAACUAUCUAACAAACAUAACUCUAACAAUUUAGAUAUUUUAUUUAUGUAUGUAAUUUUAUUAGUUCAAACUCUAGAGAGAAAGGAAAGAGAAGAGUUCUUAAAGCAGUAAAAGAGAGAGCGUGUGCUUUAUUUCAUCAUCAUAGGUAUUUAUAGGCAUUACAGUCGGAGUAAAGUAGUAAAUUCGUUUGGUCAUCUAUUCCGCAUGCUCGCCAUUAGACUAAUUAAGGCUAUUAUUAGAUUAUAACUUGUCAGGUUGUUGUCCCCUAAUUACAGAGCUGGAUUCUGUCCUCAUCAUCCCGCUCUGUCUAGUAGCUCUGUAUUUCCUUCCUUGGGGCAGACUUCUACUCUUUGGCUCCGCUCUGCUAAGUAGCUCUGCCUUCUGGCGAAUUGUCUCUGGCGUGUGGCUUCACGCUUUGGCUCCAAUAGCUUAGCCCUGACUCUGGAUCUGGCGAUUUGGCUCUGGCUCUGACUCUAACGACUUAGCUCUGACUCUGGAUCUGGCGACUUGGCUCUGGCUCUGACUUUAAUGACUUAGCUCUGGCAGCUCUGCUCUGGCAACUUGGCUCUGGCCCUCUGCUCUGGAAGCUCUGCUCUGGUUAGCUCUGGCUCUGGCAGCUCUGCUCUGGAAGCUCUGCUCUGGAAGCUCUGCUCUGGUUAGCUCUGGCUCUGGAAGCUCUGCUCUAGCAACUCUGCUCUGGCAGCUCUGUUCUGGAAGCUUUGCUCUGCCAACUCUGCUCUGGUAAGCUCUGCUAUGGACUUUUUCCUCUGCCUAUUUCUCACAGCUUCUUUGCUCCCUGCUGCUCAUCUUUGGUAUUCCAAGCAAAGCCACGUGUCCUGAUCUUGGGACCUUGCAUAUUUCACCCCACAUCAGAGUUGAUAAAUCAUAUUGCUUCCAAGCAACAAUCACAACACACUUGAUAGCAGAUGCCAAAAUUCUUUCCAAAAUUUGUUCUUUCUAAAAUAAUAAUCAUUCUAUAUUUAAAAUAGUGAAACACGUUAUUAAAUUAGGAAACUAAUUUAAUACUUACCAUAGGUGUGUAGGAAGAAUCAUGGCAGAUCAGGAAAUGGAUGUAUCAAAACAGAGAAGUCGUCGGUGGGGUGGGGGUCGACGACACGGUGGGCGAACUCCAGGGCUCAGCGGUGACUCGGCGGCGGACGAACCGCAAGCUCAGCGGCGACUAUUUCGCCGGAGUCUAGAAGAAGGAACGGCAACGGGUUAUAGGAAAAAGAAAUCUUAGGGCUCUUGUAUUAAUUGCUUCGAAUGGAGAAUUCUCAUGGGUUUAAGAAGUGGAAACAAAAUCGAACUAAUUAAGGAAUGGAAGAGGGAGUCAGAGAUGAGGCGGAGCAACGCCGCCCUUAGGACGGCGGCGACGCCUGAAUUUAGAGGGAGAGAGAGGCGGGCAGUUUAAGGGGGGAAUUAGGGCUUGAUUUGAGUGUGCAAUCGACUUUAGAGAGAGAAAAUGAUUGAGAGAAGAGAGAGACAGUGAAGGGGGAGACGACGCCGACCGGAUUCAGGGACGGCGACGAUGGGGUGAGGAAGAGGGAGGCGUGACUUUUGUUUUAAAAGUGAGAAUGAGAAUAUAUAGAUUGGAUUCUCAAAUGCCACGUUGGAGAUUGAGAUUGAAAAGAAAGAAUUUGAGGCCUGCCACGUAGGCUAAGGCCUAAUCGUAUAGAAUAGUAUUAUUAUUAUUAUUAUUAUUAUUAUUAUUAUUAUUAUUAUUAUUAUUAUUAUUAUUAUUAUUAUUAUUAUUAUUAUUAUUAUUAUUGUAGUAAUGGACGAACAAAACAAUAAAGUUUGCAGAAAUGAAAAUAUAUUUUUCUUCCCUAUAUAAUAAAUGUAUGGAUUUAUUUUAUAAAAAUAAAUAAAAUUUAAUAUUUAGAUAGACAUAAAUAAGAUUUGUUUUAAAGUAAUCAGUUUAUAAAAUUUGUGCCUUAUUAUGCAAACAUAUAAAUCAAUGACCGGACCCGUUUAUAAUUUACAUAUACGUGCAUGUCUCAAUUAAAACUUAAUUUAAAAUUAAUUUUAUUGAAAAUUAAGAAUAUAAAUAUUAUAUAUAUACAUACAAUAUAUAUACAAUAUAAUAUAUUGCAACAUAUACAUAUAAUAUGUACGCUAUUGAGAAAUAUAAAAUUAAUAACAAAUAUACAUCUAAUCACUAACAUUCAAUUAAAAUAAUUUAUCGUAUAUAGAUUAUAAUUUUUUUCUUAUCGGACAUGUAAAUCUAGUUUUUAUCUAGAAAAAAUAAAUAAUAAAAUUUAUUAAUUUAGAUUAUAUGUAAUGUUAAUAUUAUUAUAUAGAUAUUAUAUUAUAUGAUUAAUGAAUCUUUAUAUAGAAUGUAAUAGUUAAUUAAUUAAUAAAUGAUGAAGAUUAGUAUAUGGUAAAUUUUGAAAUGGUGAAAUUUUAGAUAUGCCACAUAGGUUAAGGCUUAAUCCUAUUAUAUAAUAGAUUAACUACACACUUAAAACACUAAUCUACAACUCUUUAAUUUCCGUGCCGAAUCCAAACGUGUCAAGAUUCGUGGGACGGAGGGAGUAAUUUAUAGUAUUAAAAUAUUGUGUAUAUUUAAAGACGAUGAUAUUCCGUUGAGGAUGCAAAAAUUUCAAGGAUGAUCAUAUCCCAUUCGAGAGGCGAAAAUUCACACUCAAAUCAAUAUGUAAGAUCAAAUUUUCAGAUACUAGGAAUAAAGAUAUAUAGGAUCAAAUUCCUAACCCUUUUGUCCUAUUCACNUAUUUCAUCAUCGUAGGUAUUUAUAGGCAUUACAGUCGGGGUAAAGUAGUAAAUUCGUUUGGUAAUCUAUUUUGCAUGCUCGCCAUUAAACUAAUUAAGGCUAUUAUUAGAUUAUAACUUGUCAGGUCGUUGUCCCCUAAUUACAGAGCUGGAUUCUGUCCUCAUCAUCCCGCUCUGUCUAAUAGCUCUGGAUUUCCUUCCUUGGGGCAGACUUUUACUCUUUGGCUCCGCUCUGCUAAAUAGCUCCGCCUUCUGGCGAAUUGUCUCUGACGUGUGGCUCCGCGCUCUGGCUCCAAUAGCUUAGCUUUGACUCUGGAUCUGGCGAUUUGGCUCUGGCUCUGACUCUAACGACUUAGCUCUGACUCUGGAUCUGGCGACUUGGCUCUGGCUCUGACUUUAAUGACUUAGCUCUGGCUCUGGCACUGGCUAUGGCUUAGCUCUGCUCUGGCAGCUCUGCUCUGGAAGCUUUGCUCUGGCAUCUCUGCUCUGGUUAGCUCUGGCUCUGGCAUCUCUGCUCUGGCAUCUCUGCUCUGGCAACUUGACUCUGGCCCUCUGCUCUGGAAGCUCUGCUCUGGUUAGCUCUGGCUCUGGAAGCUCUGCUCUGGCAACUCUACUCUGGCAGCUCUGUUCUGGAAGCUUUGCUCUGCCAACUCUGCUCUGGACUUUUUCCUCUGCCUAUUUCUCACAGCUUCUUUGCUCCCUGCUGCUCAUCUUUGGUAUUCCAAGCAAAGCCACGUGUCCUGAUUUUAGGAACUUGCAUCAAUCACAACACGCUUGAUAGCAGAUGCCAAAAUUCUUUCCAAAAUUUGUUCUUUCUAAAAUAAUAAUCAUUCUAUAUUUAAAAUAGUGAAACGCUUUAUUAAAUUAGGAAACUAAUUUAAUACUUACCAUAGGUGUGUAGGAAGAAUCACGGCUAAUCAGGAAAUGGAGGUAUCAAAACAGAGAAGUCGUCGGUGGGGUGGGGGUCGACGGCACGGUGGACGAACUCCAGGGCUCAGCGGUGACUCGACGGCGGAUGAACCGCAAGCUCAGCGGCGACUAUUUCGCCGGAGUCUAGAAGAAGGAACGACAACGGGUUAUAGGAAAAAGAAAUCUUAGGGCUCUUGUAUUAAUUGCUUCAAAUGGAGAAUUCUCAUGGGUUUAAGAAGUGGAAACAAAAUCGAACUAAUUAAGGAAUGGAAGAGGGAGUCAGAGAUGAGGCGGAGCAACGCCGCCCUUAGGACGGCGGCGACGCCUGAAUUUAGAGGGAGAGAGAGGCGGGCAGUUUAAGGGGGGAAUUAGGGCUUGAUUUGAGUGUGCAAUCGACUUUAGAGAGAGAAAAGGAUUGAGAGAAGAGAGAGACAGUGAAGGGGGAGACGACGCCGACCGGAUUCAGGGACGGCGGCGAUGGGGUGAGGAAGAGGGAGGUGUGACUUUUGUUUUAAAAGUGAGAAUGAGAAUAUAUAGAUUGGAUUCUCAAAUGCCACGUUGGAGAUUGAGAUUGAAAAGAAAUAAUUUGAGGCCUGCCACGUAGGCUAAGGCCUAAUCGUAUUAUAGAAUAGAUAUUAUUAUUAUUAUUAUUAUUAUUAUUAUUAUUAUUAUUAUUAUUAUUAUUAUUAUUAUUAUUAUUAUUAUUAUUGUUGUAGUAAUGGACGAACAAAAACAAAUAAAAGUUUAGUCAGAAAUAGAAAAUAAUAUUUUCUUUCCCUACUAUAAAUAAAAAUAGUAUGGAUUUAUUUUAUAAAAAAUAAAAAUAAAAUUUUUAUUAUUUUGAUAGACAUAUAAUAAGAUUUUGUUUUAAAGAAUCAGUUUAUAGAAUUUGUGCCUUAUUAUGCAAACAUGUAAAUCAAUGACCGGACCCGUUUAUAAUUUACAUAUACGUGCAUGUCUCAAUUCAAAACUUAAUUUAAAAUUAAUUUUAUUGAAAAUUAAGAAUAUAAAUAUUAUAUAUAUAUAUAUAUUAUAUAUACAAUAUAAUAUAUUGCAACAUAUACAUAUAAUAUGUACGCUAUUGAGAAAUAUAAAAUUAAUAACAAAUAUACAUCUAAUCACUAACAUUCAAUUAAAAUAAUUUAUCGUAUAUAGAUUAUAAUUUUUUUCUUAUCGGACAUGUAAAUCUAGUUUUUAUCUAGAAAAAAUAAAUAAUAAAAUUUAUUAAUUUAGAUUAUAUGUAAUGUUAAUAUUAUUAUAUAGAUAAUUAUAUUUAUUAUGAUUAAUGAAUCUUUAUAUAGAAUGUAAUAGUUAAUUAAUUAAUAAAUGAUGAAGAUUAGUAUAUGGUAAAUUUUGAAAUGGUGAGAUUUUAGAUAUGCCACAUAGGUUAAGGCUUAAUCCUAUUAUAUAAUAGAUUCUCGUUUCCCUAAUUAAUAAUUAUACAAAUCAAUUAUUAACUUGUAGAAUUUAGUUUUUAUUGGAAAUUUCUAACGUGGGUACGCACAUUCUACUUGUAUAUUUACUGAUUUACAGAAAGAGCAAUAAUUAUAACUUAAAAUAGUAAAACAAUAGAAGAAUUGGUAAUAAAAUUCGGUGCAAACCACCUUGUCAAGGAGGAUGCCUUCUUACCAAGUGAAAAACAUUCAUGUUAGAAUUUGUAGAUGGAAAGCAAGAUAUUUUAUGCUUGUAUAUAUAGUUCAUCAUAUUAUUCGUUCUCUUAUUUGAAAGGUAUAUAUGUUGACUUAUCUCGUUAAAUGAAUAUAUUAAAUGGUGUAUUGUAGUUACGGAAGAUCAUAUGAUUGGACUGAUUUUUAUGAUAUAUAAACAAUAAAUCACAUAUCCGAGAUAUUAUUGAUAUAGACUGCAACACAUUAAAAAAAUGACUUAUCUUAGUUAUUUAUUUAUAUAUAAAUACGUUAUAAUGUAUUGGGGAUCACAAUAAGUUGUGUUUUUAAUUAUUACCUGAUCUAAGAAUAACUAUAGAUUUCAGUAACUAUUAUUGACUUAAUUCCUAAUAUAGUUAAAAAUGUAUAUACUUGUUUGUGUGUCACACUUUAAUUUAUAUUGAAUUAUAGUUAAUUCGAUGAACUCAAGUAUUAUUUAUAUUUUAGGUUACAAUAAUUCAUGUAUGAUAUUUGAUACUCCCUCCGUCCCACGAAUCUUGACACGUUUUUCUUUUUGGGCCGUCCCACGAAUCUUGACACGUUUUCAUUUUGGGUAAUAAUUAUUACCUUCUCUCUCCUACUUUAUUAUUUUUAUUACUCUCUCUCUCAUACUUUAUCACUUUUAUUACCUUCUCUUUCCUACUUUAUCACUUUUAUAUUUUACUAGUGUAUUACCCAUUUCGACGGGUACAUAUUUUCUUGUAAUUUAUAUAUUUUAUGUUAUUUUUAUGAUAAUUAUAUAAAAUAAAUUUUUAUGUAAAUUAUUUAUAUAAUUAAUUAAAUUAAAUUAGUAAUACAUUUUAAAUUAUAUUAAUCUCAACAACUUUUAGUAAUUAAAUUAUUAAUUUUGUUGAGAUCAUAAAAAUACCCAUUAAUUUUCAUAUGAAAUUUUAUAAAAAGUUGACGCGUAAGAAAAAAAAAAGAAUAGAAAUACAUAUAAAUUUGACAUAGGUAUGAUGGAGGAUUGAUUUGUUGCAUUUGUUGUUACAAGAUUUAUUAAUUUUGUUCAAUUUUUUUUUUUUUGCCUUUUGACCAUAAUUUUAUAUGGAGUUUGAAAAAUCAUAAUUGAAUUGUAAGUAUCAUAUAAUUCCGAACUUCUAAAAGCAUAACUAAUUAUGAAAAUAAUCUCGCCUGAUAUUUAAAAGACCAUAACUGAUUUAUCGAACAUCGUAUCAUUUGGAGUUUUAAGACCAACCAAGUUGUGGGCAUCAUCUCGUCGCAGAUUUGACAGAUCACCUCUAACUUCUGAGCAUCAUCUUGUCUGAAACUUGAAAGAGAAUCAUCUCGUCUAAAACUUGAAAGAGCAUCAUCUCGUCUGGAGUUUUGAGCAUCAUCUCAUCUAGAGUUUGAGAGAGCAUCAUCAAAUAUGAAAUUAUAUUCAACCAUGACUCCAAUUGUCAACUAUCUUUUUUUUUGGUCAGAAAAAUAAAUAUCAUUAAAAAUCAAGGUACCAGAGGUACCGAAAGUUACAAAUUGAAAUGACAAAUGGUUUUAGACAUCCAGUCCUCUAUGCUAAUAUCACCCUCCAUCAAGUGGAAGAUUUUACUCCAACUCCAAAGUCUAGCUUUAAUACCUCCAACCAACUUGUGAACCUCCCAAUUCUUACUCUCAAAUCUACUUUCAUUCCUUCCUUUCCAGAUAAGCCAAGUGGUGCACGCCCAAAGUACCGAUAAAAACUUGACGCUGUUCUUCCUUGUCCCAAGAUUUGAGAAGGCUUCGUAGUGUGCGUCGACGUUUAAAGGUCGGACUGAAUCAACACCCACCCAUUUUUGGAUUUC